RNAcentral lists this ribosomal RNA (253 nucleotides) under uncultured bacterium. Its description in RNAcentral is "partial 16S ribosomal RNA". It matches the Rfam family "Bacterial small subunit ribosomal RNA", at positions 524 to 776 of the family's 1533-position model. The record is from RNAcentral.
UACGGGGGGGGCAAGCGUUGUUCGGAAUUACUGGGCGUAAAGGGCUCGUAGGCGGCCAACUAAGUCAGACGUGAAAUCCCUCAGCUUAACUGGGGAGCUGCGUCUGAUACUGGAUGGCUUGGAUUCGGGAGAGGGAUGCGGAAUUCCAGGUGUAGCGGUGAAAUGCGUAGAUAUCUGGAGGAACACCGGUGGCGAAGGCGGCAUCCUGGACCGAUAUUGACGCUGAGGAGCGAAAGCUAGGGGAGCAAACGGG